This 4752-nucleotide unclassified non-coding RNA is filed under the name Amphibalanus amphitrite. RNAcentral describes it as "solute carrier organic anion transporter family member 5A1-like, transcript variant X3". The record is from RNAcentral. Lineage: Eukaryota; Metazoa; Arthropoda; Thecostraca; Balanomorpha; Balanidae.
CAAAAACUAAGAUGUAAAAAAAUAACUGCACCCAAAAUUUCGCGCACCCCACAGUUUUCGCUUGGUUUUCGCACAGUGGGAUUAUUUCAUAUUUGUUACAUUUGAUAGCUCGGAGGAACAAUGCGUGAAUUUUGUUUGACUACUCAACGAAAUUGACUGAAGAGGCUAGGGUCAAUGAUAAGCUGCUGUCGAAGUUUGAGAAUUAAUCGCACUAGGUUUUCAAAUGUCAACAUCAUCUACCUUGACCUGUGACGCAAAUUGAAAUCGGAAGCUACCUAGCAAAGGCGGGCGAGCGAUGCGGGCGGACUGAUUGACGUUCAGCAGCGGCCAACCAUGUCCAGAAGGGGCAGCGCGGCGGCGGCCGGGUCCGGCGCGGCCGGGCUCUGGUCGGACGCCGCUGCCGGCCCCGGCACACCGCUGCGCGGCGACGACAGUCGAAUGAUGGAGCUGGGCUCGCGGCGACCCACGCUCACCAAGCCGCCCUGUUACCGGUACCCCGCCGAGGCCGGCUACUCGGCCGCCGAGUCUGGGUACGGCGACGAGUGCGGCCUACUCAGCUGUCGACCGCGCGCCCUGCAGCGGUUCGCCAGCAUCAAGGUAUUUGUGCUGCUGCUGUCGCUGCUGGUGACGCUCCAGCAGGCUCUCAGCUCCGGCUACCUCAACUCAGUCAUCACCACCAUAGAGAAGCGGUACGAGAUCCCCAGCUCGCUUACCGGCGUCAUCGCCUCAUUCUACGAGAUCGGCAACAUGCUCACCGUCAUCUUCGUCAGCUACCUCGGCUCGCGGCGACACGUACCCGUGUGGAUCGGCAGAGGCAUCAUCGUGAUGGGCCUGGGCAGCCUGCUGUUCUCCGUGCCGCACUUCCUGACGGACAGCUACAGCCUCAGUGUGGACUCCAACUCGAGCUCUGUGGCGGAUAACGUGUGCCGGCCGGCCGUGCGCCGUGACCAGUAUCGCCAGUUCGAGCAGAUCACUGGCAUCGAAAGCAUCGACCUGUCUCGGGACCUGGCGUCUCCUCCACUCUCUCCUCACAACAACCUGCACGGCCGGUGCGACAACUGCAUUGACGGCACCAUCAGCAACCUGCUGCCCGUGCUGAUCUUCAUGCUGGCUCAGCUGCUGCUGGGCUCGGGCGGUUCGCCGCUCUUUACACUGGGCACUACCUACAUUGACGACCACGUGCCCCGGGAGAGCUCCUCAUUCUAUAUCGGCUGCAUGUACAGUAUGGUGGCGUUCGGGCCGGUACUGGGCUUCCUGCUCGGAGCCUACAUGCUCUCCCACCACGUGGACGCCUUCUCCGGCAUCCCACUACCUGAUGAUGCCGACACAUCGGACCCGCGCUGGGUGGGCAUGUGGUGGGGCGGCUUCCUCAUCUGUGGCAUCGGCAUGUUCGUGCUCGGAGCGCCCUUCUUCCUCUUCCCCAAGAGCCUGGAGUGUGAGAAGCAGCGUGUCCGGGAGGAGGAAAAAGCCAAGGAGGCCAAGCGGCAGCACCGGGCCGCGUCACGUGGCUCCGAGGAACACUUCCAUCAUUUCCGGCAACGCCACGUGUCCGAGCACGAGCCGCACGGGCACGGCGGACACGUGCACGGACACGCGGCACGUGGCCACCGGCGCACGGCCAGCAGUAAUGUGGUAAUCGACCACAGCGCCAGCAAACAGGCCCACUUCAAACCGGGCCAUCGGCGGACUCUAUCCAACCCGACUGAGCAUGAAUACCGCAGUCGGCUGCGUCACAUGGAGCUGGCCGCCCAGCAGAAGGCGGCACAGGCCGAGCCGGCCAAGAACGUCUACACGGUGUCCCAGACGGCGCUGUCCAAAACCGGCCCACAGCGAGCGCUGUCUCAGAACAGUUUCCACCGCGGUCAUCGGCGCACAAAGUCGAAUGUGUCGCAGGUUAGCCGGGUCAGCCAGCACAGUGUCCGCUCGGCACGCUCCAACUACGGACGGGAUGUCAAAGACCUGCCGAAGUCGAUGUGGAAGCUGGUGUGUAACCCAAUCUACGUGGUCACCUGCCUGGGCGCGUGCAUGGAGCUGAUGAUCGUCUCCGGAUUCAUCGUGUUCCUGCCCAAAUACCUGGAGACCCAGUUCAGCCUCAGCAAGAGCCAGGCCUCUGUGUUCGCGGGCGGGAUUGCCAUCCCGGGCGCCUGCAUGGGCGUCUUCAUGGGCGGCUACAUCCUGAAGCGUCUCCAGCUGCGACCCAAGGGCGCCGUCCAGCUGAUCCUCAUCUUCCAGAUGAUCUCGCUGGCAAUGUACAGCGUCCUCUUCGUCGUCGGCUGCGACAACGUCAAGAUGGCGGGCGCCACAGCCCCGUACUCACUCAGCUCUCGUCAGAGCCCGGAGAUGUUCAGCGUCAACCUGACGGCCAGCUGUAACUUUGGCUGCGAUUGUGACCGGAACGAAGUGGAGCCCGUGUGUGGGACGAAUGGACUGACAUACUUCUCACCUUGUCACGCCGGCUGUACGACCUACAGCGCCGAGAGCAACUAUACUAACUGCGCCUGUAUAAACGAAGCUGGCAACUCGAGCAGCCAGUACGCCGAGAUCACCAUGGUGCCCGUCGCCACGCCUGGCUCUUGCUCGCGCGCCUGCUCCAACGCGCUGCCGUUCAUGGUGCUGCUGUUUUUCAUGACGUUCGUGGUGGCCAUCACCCAGAUGCCGCUGCUGAUGAUCGUGCUGAGAUCGGUGGACGAGGAGGAGCGCGCGUUCGCGCUCGGCAUGCAGUUUGUCAUCUUCCGCCUGUUCGCCUACAUCCCGUCACCGAUUCUGUUCGGCAACGUGAUCGACUCGACGUGCGUGCUGUGGAAGUCGCAGUGCGGCGAGCGGGCCGGGCGCUGCCUCAUCUACGACAUCGAGGUGUUCAGAUUCAAGUACGUGGGCAUUUGUGCGGGCCUGAAGGUGCUCUCGCUGAUAAUCUUCCUGCUGGACUGGUUCAUGAUCCGGUGGAAGUACAAGCUGGACAUGAACCACACCAUGACGGUGGGCGACAUCGUCAACUCCAUCAUCAGCGUAGAUCGAGCUCCGUUCUGCCAUUUUAACGAGGACCGGUGGCUGGCUCGGCAUCCGACGCACCGUGCCAACCGACUGAUGACCCUAUGAACCGCUGGAAACGAGAGAGGAAGGUUCGAGGGACCGCCCGUCCCGCCGCCGCGGUCGGCGGGACCAUUCUGGUUACCGUGAAGUGGAGGUAGACGAAGCUAUCGAGGAGGAGGAGCGGCUAGCCUGCGGUGACGAGCCGCUGGCUCCCCGCGGAUCCAUCGACUCCUGCGACUCGGCGCUGCUGGGUGACGACGAGCACACGGCCGUACAUGGUGUGUGAACGCGCUGGCCGCGGCGCCCCGCUUCUCUCUGUGAUCUGACGCCGCGCACCGGGGCGCGACCGGUGACCGGCGAAGGGCGACGCCCGCCACGCGGUGGCAGCUCAACUGGGGUGUCCGGCGCGCCGUGUGUGUGGGAGGAGGGUGUGUGCUGAGCGAGAGAGCGAGCGAGUGAGCUGCGCACCUCUCAGUAUUGGUCCCGCGCCACACGCACACUUUACGACGGCAGGGAGCGCGCGCUGACGUGACGUAGAAUCGCAGCUGGGCCGUGCGUGGGUUCCGCUAGCAACAUGCCUUACCCAUAGAUUAUUGUUUUAUAGAUGACAGAAGAGGCAAAUUGUGUUGGUUAUACAUAUAUGCGUCGAUUGGUGAUGAAACGCUGUGCCGUGUGGCCAAAAAUCACGUCCAUGUGUGAGGUGUUCAGAGCACCCUUUGCACGUGAUCUGUAUUGAUGGAUCUGUGUUAAUGUGGAUGACAAUGUUGGGGAGGCUGAAGGCCUGCAAGUCGCCGGUCGUGGAUGGCUUGUUGGCGCAAAUGGCGACGAACUAGGCGCGUCGGUGGCGAUCAGUGGCGCAGUAGUGUUGUUGGUGUGUCAGUGAACCGUCUUCUUUCCCGCACAGAAAUCUCGCUGUUUCUCUUCCACCACACGUGUUGUUCUGCACGUGCUCACAGUCACAGGUAGCCUACAUGAUAGCCUGGGACGCUUGAAAGCCUACUGAGCUGCAGCGCCCGCCUAAAAACCCAACUCACAGUCACAGUUGUGAGCAGUCUGUCAGUCUGGCCGUCCGCGCUCUCUCUUUCCAGGCGGGUCCGCGCGGCCCGCCUACGUCUGUCCGUCCGGGGUCUCUCCGCCACUCUGCCUCAGCCUCCUCACUCUGUCCGCGGGCCGCCCGCUCUCUGUCUCCUCUGUAGCUGGGGCCGUUUGUGGGGGGGGGGGGGGUGUAAAUGACCCCGGUGUCGCAGGUCGGGGAGGGGCGUGGGUGGCCGCUGGCGCCCGCCACCCCGGCCUGCUGCCAACCUGUGGAAGAGACGCGUAAUCAGCUGACGGCCGCCGCCCUGGAGCGAACAGCGAGCGGUGCAGAGCGUGAGCCGGCCCCGGGCCGCGCCGAGCGUGAACGCUCCGAAAAACCGCCGGUGGAUCCGAAUUGUGGGCAGUCAGAACAGAGAUAUAUAAUGCCGUAGUCUUGUAUUUAUUUAUUUUGACGGCUAGCUCCAGGACAGUAUUACGUGUAGAACAUAGAUCACCGCGGUAUGUUGAUUCAUGUUGUGAAAUUAGUGGCCGAUGUUGUGUACUGUACGCAGUUCUCUUAUGUCAACCAAUCAGAUGCAGAGCUGGUUAUAUGUUAUUAUUUAUUGUACUUAAUGCGACGACAUCUUAGUUUUCCACUAGCAUCGAUGUCAUACGAUAUUGUGUUGAAAAAUACAUAGCGUGGUAUAA